CUGUGGGGUCAUGGUUUCUGCCCGUUCUGCUGGUGGGCGUGCUUCCCCUACACUCACGCAGGGUACCUUGUGUCGGAGGCAGGGGAAGAGUCAAGGGUGCACGCAGGAACAGGAGCCCUCAGGGCCGUUCCUCCCAGGCCGUCCGGUGGAGCAUCUGAUGGGAACUGCUUGCAGUCCGUGUGGCCGCACGCAAGGCCCUCGCUUCCUGGACAAAGUGCCUGUGAGCAGCCUUCCAAAGCGCUACUUUCCCAUCACCAGUUUCAGUCACUGCGAAGCGACAUCACGGGAAGUUCGAGGACGCCCCGAUGCUCCUGCCUCUCUCCAUGCACGCCAUCGUCACGUCGUGACGGAGGUGCUGACAACAGGACUCCACCCCUCCCUCCAGAACACCGUGUCCCUCCACAUUUCACUGUGUGGGCACGGAGGCCCCGCAGGUUUGCCCUGGGCCAUGGGACCGCCCAGCUGGGCCCCGUGGGCUCCUGUGUAUGUGAGGGGACCAGGUAAAGGAGGCCACGGUCUCACACCCCAUCAGAGCCCCCUGCAUCGUUCAGGUCACACGACAGCAGGCACAAUUAGGGUCCCUCUUUCCCCUGGAGGAAGCACCGUGCGAGCAGCAAUGUGCCCCUAAUGAGGACAUGGCCCUGACGACGCCAGCACAGACGAGGCCCAUCACCCUGUGGUCCAGCCUUCAUCUCUGCCUCUCCUACUCGAUGGACCACGGUAGAGACAGCAGCUUGAGCAGCCUGGGCAGGAGGAGGAAAGGCGGCUGGAGGACCCGUCAGACAGAUGGGCCCUGGGCUGAAACGUACUUUGGACUCCCGGCUGGAUUAUCAUCUGCAAUUCUAGCUAAACUCUGGCUUAUGCGGUCGGAGGGACUCAGAAUAUAAAUUUAUGGAGAUAAAGUCGCUACCUCCUGGGAUGUCCCCUGAUCCUACAGCCACUCUGAAGCUACCUUUGAAGUAAAGAUGUGGAGUCGUAGGAGAGGUCUCCGUCUCAUUAAGGGAGAGCCGCCUUCUGGGACCUGGACUCAGGCAUGCGACUGCUCUGCUCACACCCUGGACUGGAGUCGGUCUAAAAUCCCAAACCCCACCAUGCAAACAAGCCCCUGUGUGAUCCAGCACUGCUGUCCUCCGACCUUGCCUCCCACCUUCCCGUGAAGGCAUCUCAUAUACUUUCACCAGGAUGGAUGAUGUUGGCAUAGCACCACAAAGCACAGUGAGUGAAAAACGUGAUGGAGGAAACAGACUUCCUCCUCUGAGAUGUAAAUGCACGAGGAAGUAACCUAUGAGAAAUAGGAACGGCUGACUGGGAGAGCCUCACCAAGUGUCCUGCUGACAAGUCUUCUCAAGCUCCAGAUUGUGGGGGCCAGCCGGCUUGCCCAGGGCUGUCCCAGUUCCAGCAUCCAAAGAAACCCCUCGGUCUUGGGCAGACUGAGAUAGCUGGUCACCCUAGAAUCCCCCAUGAGAUCUGAGACACUGCCACCCAUUUCACAGUUGAGGCGGUCAUGAUUGGGAGCUCACGGCAGCUCCUGGAGGUCACACAUGCACCUGGAACAAAAUUUAAACAGUACAGGAGGUGGAUGAAGACCAGCAGAGCCUUCGCUCACCCCAUGCCCUAGCUCAACCCCAGUGCAAGGUUGUAUAUCCUACUGUAAGUCGUUCUAGUUCUUCUACAUGAGCCGCCGCCACAGCGUGGCUACCGACAGAUGGGUGAUGUGGUUCUGCACCCGGGGAUGGAACCCAGGCCUUGGAAUCCCCUGAAGCGAUGAGAGCUGAACUUUAACCCCCAGGCCCUCAGAGCUGGCUCAGGAUUCUUCCUGAUUCGCCUUUUCCUGAGGGAGCAGCCUCCUGUCAGCCUGCCCAGCCGUCUGUCUCAUCACAAAGACCUCACCCUCCAGGGACAGGAGCGCCUGCAGGAGGAGCCCCGUGAGCUGACUCAGCACUCUGAUCUCUUUGGCCACACCCUGCACCAGCGCCCUGAUGUGUUUAAGAGCAAGAGUGGGAUCCAUUGCUUUGCUCUGAUCUCAUUGCUCCGCUUUGAUCUCAUUGCUCCUGUGGGAUGGCAGAGGAACACAAAAACCAAACUGGAACUUAAAGUUACCGUCGCAAGACACAGAAAAAGAAUU
Molecule: long non-coding RNA, 2125 nt
Organism: Equus asinus (donkey)
Lineage: Eukaryota; Metazoa; Chordata; Mammalia; Perissodactyla; Equidae
Source: Ensembl